GACGAACGCUGGCGGCGUGCCUAAUACAUGCAAGUAGAACGCUGAAGGAGGAGCUUGCUUCUCUGGAUGAGUUGCGAACGGGUGAGUAACGCGUAGGUAACCUGCCUGGUAGCGGGGGAUAACUAUUGGAAACGAUAGCUAGUACCGCAUAAUAGUAGAUGUUGCAUGACAUUUGCUUAAAAGGUGCAAUUGCAUCACUACCAGAUGGACCUGCGUUGUAUUAGCUAGUUGGUGGGGUAACGGCUCACCAAGGCGACGAUACAUAGCCGACCUGAGAGGGUGAUCGGCCACACUGGGACUGAGACACGGCCCAGACUCCUACGGGAGGCAGCUGUAGGGAAUCUUCGGCAAUGGACGGAAGUCUGACCGAGCAACGCCGCGUGAGUGAAGAAGGUUGUCGGAUCGUAAAGCUCUGUUGUAAGAGAAGAACGAGUGUGAGAGUGGAAAGUUCACACUGUGACGGUAUCUUACCAGAAAGGGACGGCUAACUACGUG
This 495-nucleotide ribosomal RNA is filed under the name uncultured bacterium. RNAcentral's name for it is "partial 16S ribosomal RNA". It matches the Rfam family "Bacterial small subunit ribosomal RNA", at positions 28 to 507 of the family's 1533-position model. The record is from RNAcentral.